CCAGCAGCCCGGCCCCGGCCCGGCUGCCGUGACCGUCGGGGGGAGCUGCCCUGGGCUACACCUCCCUCCCUGCCCUUCCCGGCAAAGGUAACCGCAGCCAUGUUCCCUGUGGGUCUGCAGAGAGAAUGGAGGAGGCCAACAGCGUGGCAUGUGAGAGGAGAGACAAGCCAUGGAAAGUGGUCCUGGUCCUCUCAGAUUUAUGCAGUAGCCAUGUUUGUCAAAGUAUUUGGCACCAAUGACAUCAUCUCUGUUGAAAUGCUGGACAGCGUGAUGAGUCCCAGAUGUUAAUGCACACCAAAAAUUGAGAAAGAAUUAAAUAUAAAGAUCAACUGUAACAGCUAUGGAGGUCUGUACUCAGUUUACAUCUGAUGUUCAUACAUGAAGAAUAUGGGAUUUUUUCAAGGGUUCCUAAAGCUGUUGAGACUUACAGGCACAAAAAUCCAUUGAAGCAACUUGGGAAGUCUACACAUUGCUGCAUUCACAGAAUUCUGCAUGCUGGAAGCAUGGAAAACUCCCUGACACUUGAGAUGUGCAUGGACCCUCAUGGAACAUGAUAUGUGACUAUAAUCUAAUACGUGUAUCAGGGAGCUGAGGGGUACAUUGUCUUUUCAUGUCAAUGUAUCAGCAAAGUCCCCAGAACUAAUUUCUGGAAGCAGUAAGGAAAGCUGACAGAGCAUAGCAAAGCUGGAGACUUUUUCUUGUUGCUCAGCAGACUGUGUUGAGUGGCUGGGCUCAGCAGAGCACCACACACAGGCAGGCAGUAAAAAUUGUUGGCAUCACCAGAAGAUUACUGUUAUCUCUGGAGGACUGCCUGUCAUGUGGAUAGCUUUCAUGCACAAUAUGAUGUGUGGUAUGAAGCAAGUUCUGUGUGUUUUCAGCAAGAGUGCAAACCCAAGAGCUGCAGAGCAUAUCUUUGCAAAAAUGGCUAAGGGGUAAAAAAAAAAUUGCCUCCUGGUGCCCCAAAACCUGGUUCCACUGGAGCUUCUGCAAGUACCCCUUAUCCUCACUUCACUACUGGCUCCACACUGCUUUGAAUCAGGCUUUAUCCAGUGGGUAUUGCAAAGGCUAAGUCUACCUUUGAAUUUUAGCUUGGAUCAGAUGGGUACUUCUAAAGUAGGUCUUGGGAUCAUUUCCAUUGUUUAUGCUUUUGCUUGUGUUAAGGAACUGUCUCAAGUGCAUGAACUGGAAUUUAUUUUGGAUAAAAAAUAAACCAACUACAUCUAAUGCACUCCAGAGAGAGAUAGGUACGUGUUCUGUGGGGUUAAACAAAAGAUCCUCCAAGGUAAAAAGAAAAUUAAAACUAAAAUUUCUUGUAAUGCAGCUUUCUGGUCCUCACUGUCAAUUGUUUUGCUCUAAAAAUCUUUCUCUGGUCUGCACUGUUUGCCAGUGUGGAUGUAGCCUUAAGGCUCAGCUGAGCUUCUUUUCCCAGUGUAGAAAGAUCUUUCUGAUGGUUUCAGAAAUUGUUCAGUCUGUCUGUGGUUCAUGUUCUUAAAGUGUGAAAUAGGGAAGAUAAUACUUAGCCAUCUUUAUCAAACUGUACACAUCUCAGAUGAAUGCCCAAGCAAGUCCAAAGUGUAGUAAUAUUUUACCUACAUCUCCUCCUACAAUUUUCUGUACUAUAUACAUAUAUUUUAAAGUUACUAAUCUGAACUGUAAAAAUACACCCAAGUUGAUGGCAGUGCACAUAACCAAAUCCUCUUAAUAUAAGCUCAUGUUGGUUUCCCAUAUGAUUUUUAAUGCCUGGUUAAUUGUUUAUGGAUCAGUUUCCACUGAAAUGCUGUUUAUGUGUGUAUUUAGAAAGGUGAAGGAGAACAGCAGCCUCUAUUGGGGUAGCAGACAACUGCUAAAUAAAUCUCUACUAGGUAGG
Melospiza melodia melodia is the source of this 1867-nucleotide long non-coding RNA. RefSeq lists it as uncharacterized. The transcript is spliced from 5 exons. Lineage: Eukaryota; Metazoa; Chordata; Aves; Passeriformes; Passerellidae. The record is from RefSeq and is a predicted model, not a curated record.